Molecule: ribosomal RNA, 104 nt
Filed under: Acanthosepion pharaonis
Lineage: Eukaryota; Metazoa; Mollusca; Cephalopoda; Sepiida; Sepiidae
Source: RNAcentral
UACGGUCAAAUCAUAGUGAAAACACCGGUUCUCGUUCGAUCACCACAGUUAAGUAGCGUCAGCUCCGGUCAGUAAUAAGAUGGAGGACCUCUUGGGAUUUGAAG